CUGAGUUUACGCUCUAUAACCCUUUGUGAAUCUUAUAAAACCUGUUGCUUCGGCGGCGCGUCUCCGGGCGUGCCCGCCGGUGUUCAGUAUCUCUUGUUUCUCUAUGAGUUACCUCUGAGUGUUCCAAAGCGAACUGUCA
This 139-nucleotide unclassified non-coding RNA is filed under the name uncultured Phialophora. RNAcentral describes it as "sequence contains ITS1". Lineage: Eukaryota; Fungi; Ascomycota; Leotiomycetes. The record is from RNAcentral.